RNAcentral lists this long non-coding RNA (1083 nucleotides) under Apteryx owenii (little spotted kiwi). Its description in RNAcentral is "lncRNA (ENSAOWG00000019015.1)". The record is from RNAcentral. Lineage: Eukaryota; Metazoa; Chordata; Aves; Apterygiformes; Apterygidae.
GAGCCGUCUCGGUUGGAGCGGGAUGGGGAGGGCUGGCGCCCUGCUCCACUCCGGGAAGCCGCAGGGUUGGGAAGGGGCUCGCCGCCCCGUGCGAUGGCAAAGCCAGAGCUCGUGCCGGGAGGUUCAUUCGCUCUUUCCCGGCACUGCCGGGGCUUCCUGGCCGCUCCCGCCGCCUUCCCAGUGCUCUUUGCUCAGCCGAAGCCCAUCGAUACCAGCUGGGGCUCCGGGUGCAGCGCCGGCACCGCGUGUCAGGCCCGCAGGGCGAUAAGAAAUCUCCGCUUCCGUUUGCCGGCGAAGCGCUCCCUGCGCUCCCACGGCCCCAAAUCCGCUCCAUGUCACCCGGCUUUCCUCGCCCGCGGACACGGGAGGGCGAAACCCCAAACCUAUCUCAUCUGCUGGGGCGCCUCCUUCCCUGCGGCGGCACCGCGGCGAGGAUGCUUCGGCCGCACUGCCUGCUCCCAAGCCGGCGCUGCUGAAUCCCGCGGGUACCCGGAGCGAUCGGCCCCAGCCGGAGGCUUUGGCGACCCGGGGGCGCGUUGCGCCGUCUCGAGGCUUCGGCAAAUCCCGGCUUCUGCUCGCUCGCCGGCGUUCGUCGCCCUGCAGGAGGCUUUCGCCGGCUCUGCGGCCCUCGAGGGAUGGGGAUUCUCUUUAAAGGAGGAUUUAACGCCCGUGCGAAUCCCUGGGGCUCUUAGCCCAGGCGCCGGGCCGGCCUUGGCCCAUCUCCUCGAGACCGGAGAGGCUUUUCCUGUUCUCGCCGGGGUCUCCUCGCCGCUCGCAGGAACCAGCCGGCAGGAGCUUGAAAUUGCCCCGGGGGCAGCGGGAGAGCCGUGGCACCAGUUGUCACACCGGCCGGUCCUCCACCGGACAUCGGUUCCCCGCCACGGGCUUUCCCGCGGUCCUGCAUGGAGCAACGUGGCCGUGCAUCUCCAGGCUAUCCUGGAUGGAAAAACCUUCCUUUUUGGAAGCGUCCUGGGUGUCCCCCCCAAGCCCAGCAUCUCCCUGGGGUAUUUGCUGCUCCCCGGAGCGAUCCCUGCGCCGUCACCGCCACCGUCGGGAUUUUGCAGCCCCGACUGCAGCCGGCGG